Molecule: long non-coding RNA, 212 nt
Organism: Cercocebus atys (sooty mangabey)
Lineage: Eukaryota; Metazoa; Chordata; Mammalia; Primates; Cercopithecidae
Exons: 2
Source: RefSeq, a predicted model, not a curated record
CGAGAUCGCACCACUACACUCCAGCUUGGCUAACAGGGUCACAGGAACCUCAAGUAUUUCACAGAAUGAUGCCAAGGAGCGCCGUUUCUACACCAUCCCUCCGGAUCAGACCACAUCUAUUCCAAUCCCAGUCUCAAACACUUCCCCUUUUUCAACUCCCAUUAAUGAAUUCACUAAGUACUUAGCACUGAGAAUAAAAAAUUAAAGCAGCA